UAUGUUUUUCCCAAGCCCCAAUUCACCAUGCAGGACAAAGGUAAGUCUGUACUUAAUGUCAACACAAAUAAGUAGAAAAGGUUUAAAAAUGAUAUAGUGAACUGAUUGUAGUCUAUUGCUUUUACAUUAGGUAUAGCCUGUGGCUGAGGGAUCAGAGGUGCUUUACACUUGUCCUCUUCCAGCAUUCAGCACUUCAGACACUCAACGUCCAAGAUGGAGCUAACACCCCAGCCAGAAGACAGCCUGACCCCGACCAACCCAAUGAGAAGGAUGGAUGACCAAGUGAAAAACUGGAGAGUGGUGCUGUGCUCCAACUAUGGCAGCUGAGAGUGGACAGAGCUGCACAGAGGACCAAAGAUCCACUCUCAGCACUUCAUACCUGACUGGCCACAGCACCACCCCUCCUCAACCUGGGUGAGGAGGGACCUGACCCCACCUCCACAGAGGGAGUUGUGAACAUGCACUUCUGUGUCGGUGGGUUUAGGAACCUCCUCACACACACACGGAUGAAGACUGUCACUGGAAGAUGUCUCCAUUGCA
Molecule: long non-coding RNA, 540 nt
Organism: Oreochromis niloticus (Nile tilapia)
Lineage: Eukaryota; Metazoa; Chordata; Actinopteri; Cichliformes; Cichlidae
Exons: 3
Source: RefSeq, a predicted model, not a curated record